CCCAAAGAAGCUUAUUAAACAAGCGGUGGUCUUGUAAACCACAGAAGGUUAAGCCCCUAGGGC
This 63-nucleotide transfer RNA is filed under the name Microcondylaea bonellii. RNAcentral's name for it is "Unio bonellii tRNA-Thr". Lineage: Eukaryota; Metazoa; Mollusca; Bivalvia; Unionida; Unionidae. The record is from RNAcentral.